GUUCAAUGUGUACCUAUCAUGACGGAAGACUCCUUAGAUGUGCUUUGCCAAAACCGAAACAAGUUGUACCUCCUGACCCAUUAAUUUUAUAACUAUCCUGACUUAUGCUCUUGGCCUCUUGGUGUGGUUUUAAACUUAGUGCCUAUUUGGGAGGAAAUCCUGGAUUCUGUUUGUGAUAUUGUUUCUUGUCCUUCCUGGAGAAAAGAAUCAAACACUUGUAAAUAUUAUUGGUAUCAGCAUACAGGCAUUUUCUCCUGCUUUUCAGAAUAUUGUUAAUUUUGACUUUCAAAAUUAAAUGGAUUUUUUCCUCAACAAGAGGGAAUUUCUGCCAUCUAACGAAUGCACAGAAUAAAAGAAAUACAGAGUAAUUUAAAAUGCUAUUCUAUAAUUUGUGCAAGUAGAGUUUUUAAGUACCCCUAUUCCUUGUACCAUGCUUUGCUAACGUGUUUUUCUAAGUAGAGCAAAAUUCAGUGAGUCCUUUCAUUUUUCCCAGAAUAAUUUAAUCAGGUAUCAGGAUAACACAGUGGUUUCUCCUUAGUAGUGACUCUGAAGAAGGCAUGAGCUCUUGGAAACUGCUUUCCACUGUCCUCUACGCAGUCUAGAUCAAGUCUCUUGAUAGAUGGGUGUAUGUUGUGUCUCCACCGAAGAGACCUAAGUUACAGGCCUAUCUCUGAGGUCUGCCUGAAAGUGAGGGAACCACAAAUGUCCCCAGUCAACUGUUUUCCCAGAGUAGCCAGAAAUGUGCCCAUCAGUGAGAACCCGGUAGGUGAUCUCAGGAUGUACAGCUGUGCCCCGAGCAGUAGGUGUCACUGUAGUCAGUGGCUUCUGCUACUCAGUACUUAAGGGGUUAAUCGGGUCUGGUGUAGCAAGGAGAAAGGGGCCCAUCUGUGUCCUGCAGGGUGCUGGUCUUUGUCUCCAGGGCACAGAUGACCCCAGUGGAAGACCCAAGUGGGCUCCAUUUUUCCCUAGGACGGGCAGAGGGAUCCUUUGCCAUAUGUAUUUUAGACGCUAAGGCUGGCUCUUGGGUGUUAUGGAGUCUGGUGGGUUGGAGUGGAGACACUGGUGAGAUGAUCCUUCUAACCUUUGGAAGGGAGACCUAGAACCAGGGGAAGGGGAGGAUUCUAUGAAGAGAAGCAGGAGAAUCUGGAUUAGCCUGAGGUGUUUCCUGGUUACUGCUGCUGAGCAGUUACAUUUGGGCAGUGAGAGGGGGCAGAACUUCCAUCAGCCUCCCUCUCAGAAAUUUCCCUUGCACCAUAAAGGAGGCAAAGCAAAGCAAAG
This 1278-nucleotide long non-coding RNA is filed under the name Marmota monax (woodchuck). Lineage: Eukaryota; Metazoa; Chordata; Mammalia; Rodentia; Sciuridae. The record is from RNAcentral.